AUAUUCCUGUACCGAUGUGUAGUGCGAUGUGGGGACGGAUCUUAAUAGGUCAUCCGGGUGUUGGAUAUCCCGGUUUAGUUGGAAGUAGGCGAUGGGUAGGCAAAUCCGCCCGUCAUAUACCGAGGCCAACGAUCGAGCCAGCUUGCUGGUGAAGUGACUAACGAGGUUCCAGGAAAAGCCACUAAGCUUCAGCUAUACACGACCGUACCGCAAACCGACACUGGUGCGCGAGAUGAGUAUUCUAAGGCGCUUGAGAGAACUCAGGAGAAGGAACUCGGCAAAUUGACACCGUAACUUCGGAAGAAGGUGUGCCCUAUUAGUGUGAAGUGAACAACGGAGCAUGAAUGGGUUGCAAAAAAUCGGUGGCUGCGACUGUUUAUUAAAAACACAGCACUCUGCAAACACGAAAGUGGACGUAUAGGGUGUGACGCCUGCCCGGUGCUGGAAGAUUAAAUGAUGGGGUGCAAGCUCUUGAUUGAAGUCCCAGUAAACGGCGGCCGUAACGAUAACGGUCCUAAGGUAGCGAAAUUCCUUGUCGGGUAAGUUCCGACCUGCACGAAUGGCGUAACGAUGGCCACACUGUCUCCUCCUGAGACUCAGCGAAGUUGAAAUGUUUGUGAUGAUGCAAUCUCCCCGCGGAAAGACGGAAAGACCCCAUGAACCUUUACUGUAGCUUUGUAUUGGACUUUGAACAGAUCUGUGUAGGAUAGGUGGGAGGCUUUGAAGCAGGGUCGCUAGAUCUUGUGGAGCCAACGUUGAAAUACCACCCUGGUGUGUUUGAGGUUCUAACCUAGGUCCAUUAUCUGGAUCAGGGACAGUGCAUGGUAGGCAGUUUGACUGGGGCGGUCUCCUCCCAAAGCGUAACGGAGGAGUUCGAAGGUACGCUAGUUACGGUCGGACAUCGUGACGAUAGUGCAAUGGCAUAAGCGUGCUUAACUGCGAGACUGACAAGUCGAGCAGAUGCGAAAGCAGGACAUAGUGAUCCGGUGGUUCUGUAUGGAAGGGCCAUCGCUCAACGGAUAAAAGGUACUCUGGGGAUAACAGGCUGAUACCGCCCAAGAGUUCAUAUCGACGGCGGUGUUUGGCACCUCGAUGUCGGCUCAUCUCAUCCUGGGGCUGUAGCCGGUCCCAAGGGUAUGGCUGUUCGCCAUUUAAAGAGGUACGUGAGCUGGGUUUAAAACGUCGUGAGACAGUUUGGUCCCUAUCUUCCGUGGGCGCUGCAGAUUUGAGGAAGCCUGCUCCUAGUACGAGAGGACCGGAGUGGACACACCUCUGGUGUAUCGGUUGUCACGCCAGUGGCAUUGCCGAGUAGCUAAGUGUGGAAGAGAUAACCGCUGAAAGCAUCUAAGCGGGAAACUCGUUUCAAGAUGAGAUCUGCCGGGGCCUUGAGCCCCCUGAAGAGUCGUUCAAGACCAGGACGUUGAUAGGUCAGGUGUGGAAGCGCAGUAAUGCGUUAAGCUAACUGAUACUAAUUGCUCGUGCGGCUUGACCCU
RNAcentral lists this ribosomal RNA (1493 nucleotides) under metagenome. RNAcentral describes it as "bacterial LSU rRNA". It matches the Rfam family "Bacterial large subunit ribosomal RNA", at positions 1433 to 2925 of the family's 2925-position model. The record is from RNAcentral.